Caretta caretta (loggerhead turtle) is the source of this 444-nucleotide long non-coding RNA. RefSeq lists it as uncharacterized. The record is from RefSeq and is a predicted model, not a curated record. NCBI's taxonomy places the organism in Eukaryota, Metazoa, Chordata, Testudines, Cheloniidae.
GUCUAUUAUGUGUACAAAGUUUCUUGGGUUUAGGAAGAGAUAUCGAAUCUUCAUAAGAAUCAACAUGAAGAAGAAAAGAGAGAUGAUUUCAAAUGAUGAGAAGAGUCAAAAAACUAUAGUCAUCAUUGGGUUUUCACAGCUAAAAGAGAAAGCAGCAUAUUUAAAAUCAUCAGUAAAAGAAUGAAUCAUGCCUGCCCAAGUCCCAGUGCACCUGCUGGUAGACCUCACUUGAAGCCCUGCGGUUUCCUGCAAAAGAGUGUGAGGAAUGAGUGAAGCAGUAAAUAAGGGCCUCAAUAGGUAUGGCUGUUCCCUGCAGACUGCUAGAACCAUCCCUGGAGGAACGGGGGGUUACAUAGCAGGUUACUUUUUUCCUGUAGUUUUGGCAGCACAAUCUUUUCUUAAACACACAAAGAAGUUAAACUCAAAUAAAUAAUGUCACUUUCA